This 497-nucleotide ribosomal RNA is filed under the name uncultured bacterium. RNAcentral's name for it is "partial 16S ribosomal RNA". It matches the Rfam family "Bacterial small subunit ribosomal RNA", at positions 28 to 523 of the family's 1533-position model. The record is from RNAcentral.
GAUGAACGCUGGCGGCGUGCCUAACACAUGCAAGUCGAGCGAGAAAUCUUUAAACAAAUCUUCGGAAGAGUGAUGAGAUGGAAAGCGGCGGACGGGUGAGUAACGCGUAGGCAACCUGCCCCAUACAGAGGGAUAGCCUCGGGAAACCGGGAUGAAAACCUCAUAACACGGAAGAUUCACAUGUUUCUUCCGUCAAAGAUUUAUCGGUAUGGGAUGGGCCUGCGUCUGAUUAGCUAGUUGGUAAGGUAACGGCUUACCAAGGCAACGAUCAGUAGCCGACCUGAGAGGGUAAUCGGCCACAUUGGAACUGAGACACGGUCCAAACUCCUACGGGAGGCAGCAGUGGGGAAUAAUGCACAAUGGGCGAAAGCCUGAUGCAGCAACGCCGCGUGAGCGAUGAAGGCCUUUGGGUCGUAAAGCUCUGUCCUUGGGGAAGAAAAAAAUGACGGUACCCUUGGAGGAAGCCCCGGCUAACUACGUGCCAGCAGCCGCAGUAA